GUCAGGUGAAAAACCCCGGGUCUACACCGGGGAACCGCUUUUGAUAGUGGGGCUCGAGAGUGGGAGAGAGGAGAGGAGUAUUCCGUGUGGAGGGGAGAAGUGUGUAGAUAUGGGGGAAAACCCCUGUGGAGGGGGCGGCUCUGGGGCCUUAUAGACACUGAGGGGCGAGAGAGUGGGGGGCAAACACGGUUUGAUACCCCGGGGUCUCCGCCCUAAAAGAUGAGUGCUUGGUGUGGUUGUAUUAUCCCUUCAGUGCCGCAGCUAACGCAUAAGCAUCCGCCUGG
This 284-nucleotide ribosomal RNA is filed under the name uncultured soil bacterium. Its description in RNAcentral is "partial 16S ribosomal RNA". It matches the Rfam family "Bacterial small subunit ribosomal RNA", at positions 587 to 876 of the family's 1533-position model. The record is from RNAcentral.